CUAAGGUGGAGCUAGGUCCAACCACGCAUUUUGGACAGCUGAAUGGUUACCAUGGAGAUUAAAGGUUUUCUCAGGUGUGCAUGAAUACAUCAAGGUGACACUCUAGGUGUUUUGAUAGGGAAUUACAUUAUAGCAUGAUGUAAAGCUAAAAAAAAAAAUAAUUAAAUAAUCAAUUUUACAUAAUUCUGCCUCUUUUUAAAAUCGUAAUUGUGGGAAUCAUAAUACUCUGAAUAAUUUUAUACUUUCUCCUUCAGUUCUGUCCUGUAUGGCCUUGUUGUCAUAGACAGUGAAUUUACUUUAAUACAUUAGCGAGCUGCUGAGUCACAGCGGCGGCAGGUGGACUUUUCUCCCAGAAAUGUGGAAACUGAAACUUACAGUACAUCUUUGGUCCCGUUUUACCACUAAAAUACAUUUUGUUCCCCCUUCCUGCUAAAGUGUGUUUAGUGAAUUAUGAGGAAAAUACUCCCCUGAAGUCCAGUUAUUAUUAUUAUGAUCAAUUAUCCAGCGUUAAUAGUCAUGUGACGCCGCACAGUCCUCUUUCACUGCAGAUUCAAGUUUACGUACUCACCGAGCAAUUUGCUGCACUGCGUUCUGCUACAGUCAUCGCUCGUUGCCGCUAAUAUUUUAAUAUUAACAUGGAAGUGAGGACAGAUGCACACGGAAUAACGUCGUCGCGCAUAAACGCCGCCACUCUGUGAGUCUCCUGCUUACAGCCCAGCAGUGAAUGAGUUACUCCUGGUGCAGUGUGUGUGUGUGUGUGUGUUUGGGUGUGCGUGUGUGUGUGUGUGCUCGGCGCGCCCCUCCCUGGUCGCUCCACACGCCGCUGCUCGGUUGCCUGCAGACGGAUGUUGCCGCAUCUCGGCGCGCUGCGCUCCACCACUACGCUGCGUUCUUCUCCAAAUGUUGCCAAAUCUCCUCUGUCCUCCUGUCUCUACCCUGACAUACACACACACACACACCCACACGCACCCCCCCCCCCCCCCCCCCCACACUGUCUCUCUCUCUCUCUCUCUCUCUCUCUGUCUCCAACACACACACAGUCACACACUCUGACAACCACACGUAACGGCGACAUUUCUCUCCGGCUUCUACACACACACACAAGUCUCCGCUGAAAGUGGCUCAUCGUCAUCUAGAACGGAGAGCGGACUCUGCACCAUAAAAGUGAUGUCCUAGAGAUCGUGGUGCUUGUGAACCCGUCAGACGACACCGUUGUAUCAGAGAUCAAGUCCCUCGUGACAGAUUCUGCAGGACACAAGCUGCU
Xiphophorus hellerii (green swordtail) is the source of this 1264-nucleotide long non-coding RNA. RefSeq lists it as uncharacterized. The transcript has 3 exons. NCBI's taxonomy places the organism in Eukaryota, Metazoa, Chordata, Actinopteri, Cyprinodontiformes, Poeciliidae. The record is from RefSeq and is a predicted model, not a curated record.